Molecule: unclassified non-coding RNA, 417 nt
Filed under: uncultured Sebacina
Lineage: Eukaryota; Fungi; Basidiomycota; Agaricomycetes; Sebacinales; Sebacinaceae
Description: sequence contains ITS2
Rfam family: 5.8S ribosomal RNA (bases 1-154)
Source: RNAcentral
AACUUGCAGCAAUGUAUCUCGUGGCUCUCGCAUCGAUGAAGAAAGCAGCGAAAUGCGAAAAGUAAUGUGAAUUGCAGAAUUCAGUGAAUCAUCGAAUCUAUGAACGCACCUUGCGCCCUUUGGCAUUACGAAGGGUAUGCUCGUUUGAGUGUCAUUGUACUCUCACACUCCCGUUGCUUUUGGAUUGGGAGUGGUGGACUUGGGUGUUGCUGCUUUACUGUGGCUCACCUCAAAUGGAGUAGUGCAACUCUUGGUUGGACAUAGUACGGCGUGAUAAGUGUCUUCGCCGGCGCCUCAUUAGAGGGUGGCCGAUCGGGAGCUCUGUGCUUCAAACCGUCUUCGGACAACAUCUGACAACUUGACCUCAAAUCGAGUAGGACUACCCGCUGAACUUAAGCAUAUCAAUAAGCGGAGGCU